RNAcentral lists this ribosomal RNA (239 nucleotides) under uncultured bacterium. RNAcentral describes it as "partial 16S ribosomal RNA". It matches the Rfam family "Bacterial small subunit ribosomal RNA", at positions 99 to 334 of the family's 1533-position model. RNAcentral also lists the same sequence under 1 other name. The record is from RNAcentral.
CGCACGGGUGAGUAACACGUAUGCAAUCCACCUGUAACAGGGGGAUAACCCGGAGAAAUCCGGACUAAUACCCCAUAAUAUGGGCGCUCCGCAUGGAGAGCCCAUUAAAGAGAGCAAUUUUGGUUACAGACGAGCAUGCGCUCCAUUAGCCAGUUGGCGGGGUAACGGCCCACCAAAGCGACGAUGGAUAGGGGUUCUGAGAGGAAGGUCCCCCACAUUGGAACUGAGACACGGUCCAA